GUAGGUGGCAAGCGUUGUCCGGAAUUAUUGGGCGUAAAGCGCGCGCAGGCGGUUCUUUAAGUCUGAUGUGAAAGCCCACGGCUCAACCGUGGAGGGUCAUUGGAAACUGGGAGAACUUGAGUACAGAAGAGUAAAGCGGAAUUCCACGUGUAGCGGUGAAAUGCGUAGAGAUGUGGAGGAACACCAGUGGCGAAGGCGGCUUUCUGGUCUGUAACUGACGCUGAGGCGCGAAAGCGUGGGGAGCAAACAGGGAUUAGAUACCCUGGUAGUCCACGCCGUAAACGAUGAGUGCUAAGUGUUAGGGGGUUUCCGCCCCCUUAGUGCUGCAGCUAACGCAUUAAGCACUCCGCCUGGGGAGUACGGCCGCAAGGCUG
RNAcentral lists this ribosomal RNA (374 nucleotides) under uncultured organism. RNAcentral describes it as "partial 16S ribosomal RNA". It matches the Rfam family "Bacterial small subunit ribosomal RNA", at positions 527 to 896 of the family's 1533-position model. The record is from RNAcentral.